GACGGAGGGGGCUAGUGUUGUUCGGAAUCACUGGGCGUAAAGCGCACGUAGGCGGAUUGUUAAGUCAGGGGUGAAAUCCCGAGGCUCAACCUCGGAACUGCCUUUGAUACUGGCGAUCUAGAGUCCGGGAGAGGUGAGUGGAACUGCGAGUGUAGAGGUGAAAUUCGUAGAUAUUCGCAAGAACACCAGUGGCGAAGGCGGCUCACUGGCCCGGAACUGACGCUGAGGUGCGAAAGCGUGGGGAGCAAACAGG
RNAcentral lists this ribosomal RNA (253 nucleotides) under uncultured bacterium. Its description in RNAcentral is "partial 16S ribosomal RNA". It matches the Rfam family "Bacterial small subunit ribosomal RNA", at positions 524 to 776 of the family's 1533-position model. The record is from RNAcentral.